This 282-nucleotide long non-coding RNA is filed under the name Coffea arabica (coffee). RNAcentral's name for it is "long non-coding RNA (CARA_LNC007196)". Lineage: Eukaryota; Viridiplantae; Streptophyta; Magnoliopsida; Gentianales; Rubiaceae. The record is from RNAcentral.
UACCUCAUUAUUCCCAAUAGCCAUGAAGGCCAUUUGAGCUGAUUCUUCCUCUUCUUCAACUUCCCCUUCGGAGUUACAUUCAUUCCAAGUAAUUUGGAAGUUGUUGAAUCUUGGUUUUCGAUCAGCUUUACCAUCUUUCAUUUUCUUCAUGGGACAUUCAUUUGCAUAGUGUCCAGGUUGUCCACAUUCAUAGCAUUUGUCCACUUGCUUCUUGUUGAAUUCUUGUUUUCCUUUGUUCCUUGCAUUUGAUGAAUAAUUUUGAAAUUGAUUGCUAGGUCCUCC